UCUCCCUCGCCUUCCCUGGCCCACUGACUUGGGUCCAACAGGGCUCAAAGGCUGGGCUUUACGCCCAAAAGAGGUUGACCUCAAGUGUCCGGGCUUCACAUCUUCAGAGAAGGCUCGGUGCCCUCACUGGGACACGCCUGGACUGUUUGGUGGCCUCAGUCAGUGAACUCGGCAGGAAACAGGAUGGAGGAGGCUGGGGCGGGAGGGGAGGAGGAAAACCACAGCAGCGCCCCGUAGAGGUGAACAGAGUGUGCCUGAGCACGCCACUUUUGCACCCAGGCAAGGUGGAGGAGGGAGGGUGGUGAUCUUUAUCCGUGCUCUUCCCUUAUCUGGUCCCAUUCCAGCUACGAUCCCCAUCCCACAUGGUGGAAGCCGCCCCCCCCCAUCCAAGGCCAGGUCCCAGCCCCCAAGAGGACAGUUCUUUCCUACCUGUGACAUUGCUGAAGAUGCUGAUGGUGAGGUUGUGGGGGGCAUCUGGGGUAGAAAGAUACGGCUCUGCUUCAGAGCUCAAACCCCACUACCCUGGGGGACCCUGCCCUCUCCCCAGCACUCACAGGAGACAUUGAGCCAGAUGGUUCUUUCCACGGUGGCCUGAGCUUCUGGCAGUUUCACCUGACAGGUGAGGUUGGUGCCAUGGUCCUGCGGCCUCGGGGUGAAGGUCACCACCGAGGAGUGCAGGGUCUCGGGGUCCAGCGAGUCCAGAGCAGCCCCCACCCAGGAGAAUGUGAGAGGUCUUUCCCCUUCGCAGGACCCCGGCAGGCUGCAGGUCAGCUCUGCGGGCCAGCCAGACUUGAGGGGCUCCGGGAAGUGGAUGUCGGGUUCCUGUGUCAGGGCUGAGGAGGAGACAGGGAGGUGCCCGGGCCCCAGGGAGGUGGGGACCCACGGGGUGACCCUGAGAGGGUCCGGGCCUCAGGGCCCAAGCUGACCCCGGGCCCCGUUAUCUCUUCCAACCGUCCCAGCCCCAAGACCCGCAGCAGGGAAUGUUCCGGCGUCCUGUGCCUGCUCUGAGAGGGGGUGUCCACAUCCCAGAGCCCUCCCCCGGGGCCCCUGCUGUACCUGCCACCCGCAGAGUCAUCGUCGUAUGUGUGUAAGUAUAUCUCACGUCUUCUCCUCUCUCCACUCGGAAAAA
Molecule: long non-coding RNA, 1129 nt
Organism: Lynx canadensis (Canada lynx)
Lineage: Eukaryota; Metazoa; Chordata; Mammalia; Carnivora; Felidae
Exons: 2
Source: RefSeq, a predicted model, not a curated record